UACGUAGGGUGCGAGCGUUAAUCGGAAUUACUGGGCGUAAAGCGUGCGCAGGCGGUUUUGUAAGCCAGAUGUGAAAUCCCCGGGCUCAACCUGGGAACUGCAUUUGUGACUGCAUCGCUAGAGUACGGCAGAGGGGGAUGGAAUUCCGCGUGUAGCAGUGAAAUGCGUAGAUAUGCGGAGGAACACCGAUGGCGAAGGCAAUCCCCUGGGCCUGUACUGACGCUCAUGCACGAAAGCGUGGGGAGCAAACAGG
Molecule: ribosomal RNA, 253 nt
Filed under: uncultured bacterium
Lineage: Bacteria
Description: partial 16S ribosomal RNA
Rfam family: Bacterial small subunit ribosomal RNA
Source: RNAcentral